UGUCAUCCCUAAUCCCUAACUCGCUCACUUUCCAAAUUUGCCGGACAAGUUCGGACGUGUUCUGUAUUGUUCUAUAGUGUUCUCCUGAGGUAAGACUGAUUACUACCAUUUUUCAUCUGCUUUUAUCUGAACAAUCCUCCAAGUAAAUGUCUUGUAAACGGCAGCAGCUCGGUGAUGCCAAGCGGGCCUCCGAAGCAUUCCCAGGCCAUAGAUGAGUCCCCAUUUUCCAGUCAAACUUGCCUAGUUCAGUUCUAAAUGAUGAUUCCAAUAGACAAGCAUAUGGCUGAAUUUGUACUGUCGAUUAAUUUGCACUGAUUGUUAAGGCUUAGAAGUAGAAUGCGUUUUGCGGGUUUGCUGGUGGUUAAAUGAGUUCGUUUUGCAGGCUUUUCAUCAUGGCGGACGCUCCGGUUGCUUCAGAAAACUUCAUUAUGGACCGGGUUUUGCGCUGGAUUUCUGGGAGCCUUAAAGAACACCAGCACCCCCAUUUGCCCCCAAAUUCGUGAUGAUUUACAUAGACAAGCAUAUGACUGAAGGUUCUGUUGAUACUUUCCGCUGAUUAUCCUUUGUAAAGACUCCAAAGGAGCUUCGCACGUGGAGGCGCUUUCAUUGCUGCAGGUCUGGCGUAGUUGAAAGGUGAGUUGCAAUGGCUCAGAAGUUUGGAUGUUGAACAGCACAAUGAUGACACUAAUUACCGUCUGAUAGUCGAAUGAUUAUAACUUUCGGCUGCAUUUAUUUGCUGAUUGACUUCAAAUGGUCUCACAAAGUAUUGGUUGGGAGACCGCAGUACUAAACGAGUUUGUUUUAGGAGUUUCCCGGCCUAGAAUGGGCAAUGAGUGAAGACUGCAGAGACUAACUAGGUGUGGGAGAAUGGAGACACUGAGUCUUCGUCGGAGACCCAAAAAGGUUCUCUGUCCAGUAGUAUCCAGUCAAUCGAGGGUUCCGGACUGAAUUCCUCCUAAUUUUGCGGGUGGUGGAGCUGGGUAACAUUGAGAACCAUCAGCAACAGCACUGACCAAGGCACCACACAAGGGAGGCAACAAAAGUAAUUUCUGAUCUUCUACGUAGAUUAGCACCAUAUUUUCCUUAGUUAUAAUGAUUCUUCAAAUAUACGCUAUGAAUCAUUUGGUGAUGUCAUCUAAGUUCUGAAUGAUACUUUAAAGUUUUUGUAUAAAUUAGUGGUUUGAGCCUGAUUUGAGAUUGAAAACCCUGAUGCAAGAAGGGGAUAAGUAACAUUUAUUGGCUUUUACGCGUGACAAAAAAAUACGUUUUAAAAAGUAUUUAAAUGUUACUCAAGGCAGAGACCGAAAGUUUAAAUAUUUUGGUGUACAUUAGAUAAAGUUAUUCUAAAAAAUAAACUAGAAAUAUAGGAAAAAUGGUUUGGUUAUUCCAUAAUAUGGCAAAUUUCCAGUCAAGAUAUUUCAAAUUAACUAACGGUAAAGGUGGGAGAUAAAUCCGAAAGUAUUAAAAAAGACGGGUUUUAUUUAGAAAACAAUAUUCGGUAACUAACACAGGUUUUUGACGCACCAUCUACAUUGAAAACUAAUUUUAGAAUGUGCACCAAUAUCAAAAAUUUUCGUCGAGUCCACACGAAAGUAUUGGAAACUAUUUGCUCAAAUACUAUGUCAAAGGAAAGAAUGGAAACCACAGAUUAUGUUGAAACUCUGUUUAUAACACAGUAGGAAUAAACAAGACACUAGUUUUAAAAUACAGUUCCAAUCGCUUAGCAGUAGAUGCUAAAACUAAGCUACAAAUCUAGAAAAUCUUAAUAUUUAUAAAGUACACUUUGGGUUGCACGCUAGAAAACUAUGUAUAUUACUGUAGAUACUUUUACAAUCUUAGAUUUUAACAAUAAUUCAGAGUCAUAGCUAUUAUAUUGUGGACCCGUUCUUCCGAAAUAUGUUUUACUCAUAAUAAUAGCUGAAAAUAUAAAAAAGGUCCUUUUAAGAAAUUUCUUCAGCAAAUACGUGUGGAAUUUUGAAAUUUYGCAUCCAUUUUCAUGUAAAUGUAUCUCACAAAUGUCUUCAUAAAAUAUUUUAACAAUACUGUUACAAAAUUCGAGCUUUACUGAAAUUGCRUAUUUUUGGAAACAAUAAAUUAUUUGAUAUAUUCUUUC
This is a long non-coding RNA of Dendroctonus ponderosae (mountain pine beetle), 2113 nucleotides long. RefSeq lists it as uncharacterized. Lineage: Eukaryota; Metazoa; Arthropoda; Insecta; Coleoptera; Curculionidae. The record is from RefSeq and is a predicted model, not a curated record. The transcript has 9 exons.